Molecule: long non-coding RNA, 869 nt
Organism: Carassius carassius (crucian carp)
Lineage: Eukaryota; Metazoa; Chordata; Actinopteri; Cypriniformes; Cyprinidae
Exons: 2
Source: RefSeq, a predicted model, not a curated record
GGGCUUGGGCGUUGUGACGUCAUUACUUGGCGGGGCCGCCACGUUGAUAGCCUCCUUUACUGCUACUCGGACUACUGCGCAGUGUUUAGACAUACUCCCUCUCAUCCGUGUGUCUUAAUUUAAUUAAUUAAAAAUCUAUUUCAACCAUGGUAAACCGUUGCUGUAUUGUGGGGUGUAAUAGCGCAACACAUAAUCUCCAUGGGGAAAAUAAAAUGAGAAUGGAUUAAUUUUACACCGCUUUCCUGCUUGUAGGCGCGACCACGGAGAGUCGGAGACCAUAACAUCUGAAUAUUAAUUUAUAUAGCUUAAGUCAACAUUGAGAAUAAGGGAAAUUUCUCGGGUUACACAUCCAAAAUACGGGAAAUUUCAACAUUCAUCUUUUUGUUGCUAUCCCUCUGCUGACAGUAAAAACGCAGCUUACCUUUGUCCAGAUUACUGUAACGUAUACUGUUUGCCGGUUUUAUGAUCUGCAACUCCUGAACAUAUCCAUUUGUGAACUGCACAUGAGACUCCAAUGACUUGUAGCUUCAGAACUGUUCUGAAGUGUAGGCGCUCAUAAAACAAACAAUGUAGCCGAGGAUAUCUGUAAUGCAAAAGUGCGGCAGCAAGUAAUCAUCGGUGCUCCACUCUUUGUUGGGAAUUUCAUAUGGAUCCAAACCAUUAAUAGUGCCGAUUUUGUGCACAUACCGGUCCCUGACAUCCCUAUUUUGUGUAUCCCUUUAAAUCCCACAACCCUUUCGCGAUUUUACCAUCUUUUCUCUUUCUCCCAACUCUGCUUCUUCUUGUUCGACUUGCUGUAUGUUUACAUUCGCGAGGCUAUCAACAGGUCCGCCACGUCCCAGAAUGCAACGCGGCACCCAAGCCCUAUU